AGGGGUGACCAACUGUCCUGGUUUGCCUGGGACAGAGGGGUUUUCCAGGACACAU
This 55-nucleotide microRNA precursor is filed under the name Chlorocebus sabaeus (green monkey). RNAcentral describes it as "miRNA (ENSCSAG00000022358.1)". The record is from RNAcentral. Lineage: Eukaryota; Metazoa; Chordata; Mammalia; Primates; Cercopithecidae.